GAUGAACGCUGGCGGCGUGCCUAAUACAUGCAAGUCGAGCGAACGGACGAGAAGCUUGCUUCUCUGAUGUUAGCGGCGGACGGGUGAGUAACACGUGGAUAACCUACCUAUAAGACUGGGAUAACUUCGGGAAACCGGAGCUAAUACCGGAUAAUAUUUUGAACCGCAUGGUUCAAAAGUGAAAGACGGUCUUGCUGUCACUUAUAGAUGGAUCCGCGCUGCAUUAGCUAGUUGGUAAGGUAACGGCUUACCAAGGCAACGAUGCAUAGCCGACCUGAGAGGGUGAUCGGCCACACUGGAAACGAGACACGGUCCAGACUCCUACGGGAGGCAGCAGUAGGGAAUCUUCCGCAAUGGGCGAAAGCCUGACGGAGCAACGCCGCGUGAGUGAUGAAGGUCUUCGGAUCGUAAAACUCUGUUAUUAGGGAAGAACAUAUGUGUAAGUAACUGUGCACAUCUUGACGGUACCUAAUCAGAAAGCCACGGCUAACUACGUGC
RNAcentral lists this ribosomal RNA (498 nucleotides) under uncultured bacterium. RNAcentral's name for it is "partial 16S ribosomal RNA". It matches the Rfam family "Bacterial small subunit ribosomal RNA", at positions 28 to 508 of the family's 1533-position model. The record is from RNAcentral.